UCGUUAAACCUCACCCUCCCUUGUUUUUUCCGCCUAUAUACCGCCGUCGUCAGCUUACCCUAUGAAGGAACAAUAGUAAGCUAAAUUGGUACAACCUAAAACGUCAGGUCGAGGUGUAGCGCAUGAGAGGGGAAGAAAUGGGCUACAUUCACUACUAUAGUGAACACGAAUGAUGGACUGAAAUUUCCAUCUGAAGGAGGAUUUAGCAGUAAGCAGAGAAUAGAGUGCUCCGCUGAAACCGGCUCUAAAGCGCGCACACACCGCCCGUCACCCUCCCCGACCUAAUAUUUCCAAUAAUUAAUAACCUAACAACUGUUAAGGGGAGGCAAGUCGUAACAUGGUAAGUGUACCGGAAGGUGCACUUGGACAAAC
This 372-nucleotide ribosomal RNA is filed under the name Channa striata (snakehead murrel). RNAcentral's name for it is "partial 12S ribosomal RNA". It matches the Rfam family "Bacterial small subunit ribosomal RNA", at positions 961 to 1527 of the family's 1533-position model. Lineage: Eukaryota; Metazoa; Chordata; Actinopteri; Anabantiformes; Channidae. The record is from RNAcentral.